UGCGUAGGUGGCCUUUUAAGUUGGAUGUGAAAUACCCGGGCUUAACUUGGGGGUGCAUCUAAUACUGGAGGGCUAGAGUGCAGGAGAGGAAAGCGGAAUUCCUAGUGUAGCGGUGAAAUGCGUAGAUAUUAGGAGGAACACCAGUGGCGAAGGCGGCUUUCUGGACUGUAACUGACACUGAGGCACGAAAGCGUGGGGAGCAAACA
RNAcentral lists this ribosomal RNA (206 nucleotides) under uncultured Bacillota bacterium. RNAcentral describes it as "uncultured Firmicutes bacterium partial 16S ribosomal RNA". It matches the Rfam family "Bacterial small subunit ribosomal RNA", at positions 568 to 774 of the family's 1533-position model. The record is from RNAcentral. Lineage: Bacteria; Bacillati; Bacillota.